This 241-nucleotide long non-coding RNA is filed under the name Lathyrus oleraceus (garden pea). RNAcentral's name for it is "Pisum sativum (pea) long non-coding RNA (PSAT_LNC017752)". The record is from RNAcentral. Lineage: Eukaryota; Viridiplantae; Streptophyta; Magnoliopsida; Fabales; Fabaceae.
ACAAAAUUUGAAUUAAAAAUGAAAUAAAAAGGUUUUAAAAUGGAAAUUAAAAUGGUUAAAAAUGGAAAAUAAAGAGAAAAUGCAAAACAAAUAUCAAAAUGUAAAAGAAAUGGAUGAAAAAAUUAUGAAAAGUCAAGAAUAUUACAAAUGAAAAGAUCUUAAAAUCUGGAUGCAAAAAUAUUUGCAAAUGAUUGAAAAAAUAAAUUGGAAAUGAAAAUUAAAAGGAAAAUGAAAUUAAAAA